Molecule: ribosomal RNA, 215 nt
Filed under: uncultured Actinomycetales bacterium
Lineage: Bacteria; Bacillati; Actinomycetota; Actinomycetes; Actinomycetales
Description: partial 16S ribosomal RNA
Rfam family: Bacterial small subunit ribosomal RNA
Source: RNAcentral
ACGUGGGUGAUCUGCCCUGCACUUCGGGAUAAGCUUGGGAAACUGGGUCUAAUACCGGAUAGGAGCCAUCUUUAGUGUGGUGGUUGGAAAGUUUUUCGGUGUAGGAUGAGCUCGCGGCCUAUCAGCUUGUUGGUGGGGUAAUGGCCUACCAAGGCGGCGACGGGUAGCCGGCCUGAGAGGGUGUACGGCCACAUUGGGACUGAGAUACGGCCCAG